This 564-nucleotide ribosomal RNA is filed under the name Streptomyces sp. 337B01. RNAcentral's name for it is "bacterial SSU rRNA". It matches the Rfam family "Bacterial small subunit ribosomal RNA", at positions 93 to 671 of the family's 1533-position model. Lineage: Bacteria; Bacillati; Actinomycetota; Actinomycetes; Kitasatosporales; Streptomycetaceae. The record is from RNAcentral.
CAGUGGCGAACGGGUGAGUAACACGUGGGCAAUCUGCCCUGCACUCUGGGACAAGCCCUGGAAACGGGGUCUAAUACCGGAUAUUACUGUCGCAGGCAUCUGUGAUGGUGGAAAGCUCCGGCGGUGCAGGAUGAGCCCGCGGCCUAUCAGCUUGUUGGUGGGGUGAUGGCCUACCAAGGCGACGACGGGUAGCCGGCCUGAGAGGGCGACCGGCCACACUGGGACUGAGACACGGCCCAGACUCCUACGGGAGGCAGCAGUGGGGAAUAUUGCACAAUGGGCGAAAGCCUGAUGCAGCGACGCCGCGUGAGGGAUGACGGCCUUCGGGUUGUAAACCUCUUUCAGCAGGGAAGAAGCGCAAGUGACGGUACCUGCAGAAGAAGCACCGGCUAACUACGUGCCAGCAGCCGCGGUAAUACGUAGGGUGCGAGCGUUGUCCGGAAUUAUUGGGCGUAAAGAGCUCGUAGGCGGCUUGUCGCGUCGGAUGUGAAAGCCCGGGGCUUAACUCCGGGUCUGCAUUCGAUACGGGCAGGCUAGAGUUCGGUAGGGGAGAUCGGAAUUCCU